Molecule: RNA transcript, 2521 nt
Organism: Drosophila hydei
Lineage: Eukaryota; Metazoa; Arthropoda; Insecta; Diptera; Drosophilidae
Gene: Arglu1
Gene name: UPF0430 protein CG31712
Exons: 3
Source: RefSeq, a predicted model, not a curated record
UAAUAUAUUGAUACAAAAAUGGGUUCACGUUCGCGCAGUCCAUCGGUGAAACGCCGCCAUCACAAAAGCAAACAUAAAAAACGCAGCAAAAGUAAGUCACACAAUCGCGACAGGGAACGAGACCACGAGCACGAGCGCAGCAGCUGCACCCGCAGUAGUCGCACGGAUAGAGACAAGUCAGCAGAGAUUAAUCAACAUGGUCGACGAGAGCGCGAUAGACAUCGCAGCGACAGGCACACGCACACGCACCUGCACACACACACAGAGCGCGACUAUCACCGGCACUCGCACUCCAAGUCCCGCAAGCGCUCCAGCUCAUCGAGCAGUGAUAGCCAGCAGUACUCGGACCAUGAGACGCAACGCAGUCGACACAAACGCAGUCGAUUUAAGAAACUAGAUGAGCAAAAUUUACUUCAGGUAGAACGACUUGCCGAAAUGGAAAGGCAACGUCGACAAAAAGAAGCUGAACAGAAAACGAUUGAAGAGCAGGCGGCCAAGCGCAUUGAAAUGCUCGUUAAGAAACGUGUCGAGGAAGAACUCGAAAAGCGGCGCGAUGAAAUCGAACAGGAGGUGAAUCGUCGCGUCGAUACAGCCAAAGCGGAAAUGGAACGUGAUAUGAUGCUGGAGCUGGAGAAGCGACGCGAGCAGAUACGCGAAGAAGAACGCCGUCGCGAGGUAGGUGCUCGUAUUCAGAUUUCGCUGGACGACUGCUGCUACCACAAAUACCCAAACUACCAACUACCACACGCACAGUAUACAGCCUUCGACUACAACUACCGAAAAACACACACAUGUACAAAACCAAUAGCAGUUGCAAACAGUCGUCUUGAAAAAACCCUUUUACGAAUUUGUGUAGCGACGUUUCCAGUUACCAACUGUAAUUACCAGGUGCUAAAGGCUCAGUUUGCCUCAAGUGUGUGUGUGUAUGUGUGUGUGUUGGCGUGUGUGUAUCAGAAAUUAACUAAUACUCAUUUAUAGUAAACUAAAAAAACGAGUCAUGUUCUUGAUACAUAGAUUGCUGAAGUAAUUUGAAGAAUUAGAGCCGAUCAGCAACAGAUUUCUCGGCUUGGAACAAGACUAGCUCCAUUGCACUGCUAAUCUACUAACAUACCUUCAUGCCAUACCAAUUAACUGAUUAACAUUUCGGUUCAUGACCGCAACACACAUUCAUGCACACAGAUACGCUGAGCCACUGGCCACGUCGCUGCACAUUUCGCAUUUCUCCUCCCAAAUAAUUUUUGUAAUUAUUAUUUAUUUUUUUCUACAAACCAAAACGAAAGAAAAUACUCAAAGCCAAAAAUGUGUCUUGCAGUUUUGACGCCCACAAAAGUGCAUAAUUCAAUUUUUGAGUUACUUUUAGCUUCAUCUAUUCUUGUUUGAUUUCAUUUUGAUUGGUUUCUGUAACUCGUUGUUGUUAUUGUUACAUAAUGCGCGCAAUAUAAUGCUUCGAUCAAAUGAGUGAGUGUGCCUGCGUGUGUGCCUGCCUGUGUGUGUGUUUGGGAGAGAUGGGAGUAUGUACGAGGGAACCACAAAUACAACAAACAAACAGAGAAAGCAGUAAAAACACGAGCAUAUACAUAUACACACUUGUAUAUGUCGUAUGUUGCCCCGCUUCCCUUUCACCCCAACCUAAGCAGGAGCUAAUGCUUACGAAGAGAAUUCGGCCACACGGAUGAGAGCAACACUUCGCUCUCUAGGAGAUCGUUCAAGAUGUACCACACACAUACAUGCGUACUCCGUAUCCCGUAUCCCGUAUCACGUAUCACGUAUAUCGUAUAACGCAUACCGUACAGUUUAGUCAAUAAAGUUUAGUGCCCGUUAGUUAGUACAGCUUGGCCUAGUAUUUGGGGGCGGACAUAGCAUAGCUUAGCUUAGCUCCAACUGUACGAAGCAUGCCAAAAACAAAUAGGUUCCCAUACACGGGCGCCUAUUCAUACCAAUAAACGGGUGAGUGAGUUCCUUAAACAAAACGAAACGUGUGAAAUAACCAAACGGAUAAACAAACUUGAAGUGUGUUAAGUGUAUGAACAAUCAUUCGAAUGCGACGAAUUAAGCAUUACGAAUGCAAAUGCAAAUGCAAAUGCAUAAAUAAAACAAAUAGUCUUUAAGGACUCUAAGCUCUCCCUCUAGGAACAUUCGUCAUAGGACCACCAAAGCUGAUCAGACUUAAGAUUGUUAUCGUAACUCAUAAGCCGGAUAACCAUUUGUCAAUCAAUGGGUAUGACUGUACUUGUUGUUGUUGUCGUGCCACAAAUGUUAAUUUUAUGUAUGUUUGUUUUCUUCAAACAUUUAUCGUUUGAUCGAGACGCUUUUAUAAUUUGAUUCCUAAACACCAAAAUAUGUAAUGUAAUUCUGAUUAAACAACUAUGUAGCUGAAUACCGUAAAUCAAAAUGCAAAUUCGCAGCAAAGCCAAAAAUUAACAAAAUGAUUUAGCCAUUAAACUGGAAAAAUGAACUAUUUCAAUAGAGGAGGAAAAGCAAAAACGAGAAGAGCUCGAAGAAAUUUUGGCCGAAAAUAAUC